CCUAAAAGAAAAUGGAAAUUUUAUGGCAUUUUGUGUUAAAUGCCUAAUUAUACCGAAAUAGGGAAUUUUAUUCCAUGAAUGGACCUUAGGUUAAAUUUUAUUAUGUGAUUAAUUAAAUUAAAUGUGAGAGACAUUUAAUUUAAUUAAUUAAUGUUAAGUUUGGUGAUUAAAACUUAAUAAAAGUGAAAAAGGUGUCAAAAGCCAAUUUGGACUUUUCUUCUUAUGAAACCUUUUUUUAACCUUAAUUAAAAAAAAAAAAAAAAUGAUCAUAUAUUUAGCAAAGAGUGGCCGGCCAUGUGGUGUUUUAGAGUGGUGUGAACCCAAAUUUUAUAAAAUUAAAUGCCAUUUAAUUAAGAGGUCAAGUGGGCAAGUGGGUAGAAAAGCACUCAAGUACCUUGUGAUAUUUUGAAGAGUAUUGUGAGCAAUUCCCACACUAAGAACCGAUGACUCUCCAUCUCUCAUUCACUAUCAUCUUUUUUUGAAGACCUCUCAAAGUGUUCUCUCCAUUUUUCAAGCCCAAGAACACCAAGGAAACUUUGAGGCUAAGUCUUGGUCUAGGAAGUAUUUUCCCUAAGUUGGUUAGGGUUUUUGAAAGGUUUUGGAGGAGCCAAAGCUAAUAGGAAGGUCCAAACCUUAAGCAAGAACACCAAAGAGGUAAGAGCAAGGGCAAGGCAGAGCAGUGAGCGCUGGAGUCUUCCUUGCAAAUGUACAUGUGGACCAACCUUUUGGGAAGCCGUUUUAUUUUUGGAAAUGUUGUGUAAUUUUCCUAAGAAAGGCUCACCCUAAUCUUUAUAAAACAUGUUUGUAACUAAAUGUUAAGUAUGGCCAUACGACAUUUUAAAAAGUUUUUUUUUCUAUGGG
Molecule: long non-coding RNA, 861 nt
Organism: Humulus lupulus (European hop)
Lineage: Eukaryota; Viridiplantae; Streptophyta; Magnoliopsida; Rosales; Cannabaceae
Exons: 3
Source: RefSeq, a predicted model, not a curated record